This is a long non-coding RNA of Myzus persicae (green peach aphid), 545 nucleotides long. RefSeq lists it as uncharacterized. Lineage: Eukaryota; Metazoa; Arthropoda; Insecta; Hemiptera; Aphididae. The record is from RefSeq and is a predicted model, not a curated record. The transcript has 2 exons.
CUCGGCGCGACUGCAGGAAUUCUUCGUCGAUCGCAUUCCGCGGCGGCGGUAUCGUCGUCGUGAUGCAGUAAUAACCAUAAUAAUGAUAACGUCAUAAGAAUAUUACAAUACGUCGUGUCGCGCUCUGCACUAUAAUACACGCCGAGUGCAUUUCAACACGUCUCAAUAUUUGACAAAAAUCUAAUGAAAUAAAUAAUAAUAUAAUGUAUUCUAGCUGUAGGGUGUGUAGGUACCUAAACAUAACAUAGAUUGUAAAUUAUAAUUAAUAGAAAGUAUAAUCAAGUAGGUACAUAUUUUAGCAAAAAACGUACGAAUUGAAUUGAAGAUUUUUUCAAAUUGCAAUUCUUAAAAUGACAUAUAGAACCUCCCCAUACUUAACCUGACACCUGCAGGGAAUAUUGUAUUUAAACAAUAACACGUCGACGUUUGCUACCUAUAAUGUAAUGCCAAAAAAAUAGAAUAUGUUUCAGAGUGAAAAUUGGAUUGUUUAUUUUAGAAGUCAAGGCUACAAAAAAUGUACAUACACAAUACACAUUCAAUAAUAC